UACAGAGGGUGCAAGCGUUAAUCGGAGUUACUGGGCGUAAAGAGCACGUAGGCGGUUGAUUAAGUCAGUUGUGAAAGCCCUGGGCUUAACCUGGGAACUGCAAAUGAUACUGGUUAACUAGAGUCGAAGAGAGGGAAGCGGAAUUUCCGGUGUAGCGGUGAAAUGCGUAGAUAUCGGAAGGAACAUCAGUGGCGAAGGCGGCUUCCUGGCUUCAGACUGACGCUGAGGUGCGAAAGCGUGGGGAGCAAAC
Molecule: ribosomal RNA, 250 nt
Filed under: uncultured bacterium
Lineage: Bacteria
Description: partial 16S ribosomal RNA
Rfam family: Bacterial small subunit ribosomal RNA
Source: RNAcentral